GGCGCGCCUAACACAUGCAAGUCAAACGAGCGAGAGAGAGCUUGCUUUCUCGAGCGAGUGGCGAACGGGUGAGUAACGCGUGAGGAACCUGCCUCAAAGAGGGGGACAACAGUUGGAAACGACUGCUAUACCGCAUAAGCCCACGGCUCGGCAUCGAGCAGAGGGAAAAGGAGCAAUCCGCUUUGAGAUGGCCUCGCGUCCGAUUAGCUAGUUGGUGAGGUAACGGCCCACCAAGGCGACGAUCGGUAGCCGGACUGAGAGGUUGAACGGCCACAUUGGGACUGAGACACGGCCCAGACUCCUACGGGAGGCAGCAGUGGGGAAUAUUGCACAAUGGGGGAAACCCUGAUGCAGCGACGCCGCGUGGAGGAAGAAGGUCUUCGGAUUGUAAACUCCUGUUGUUGGGGAAGAUAAUGACGGUACCCAACAAGGAAGUGACGGCUAACUACGUGCCAGCAGCCGCGGUAAAACGUAGGUCACAAGCGUUGUCCGGAAUUACUGGGUGUAAAGGGAGCGCAGGCGGGAAGACAAGUUGGAAGUGAAAUCUAUGGGCUCAACCCAUAAACUGCUUUCAAAACUGUUUUUCUUGAGUAGUGCAGAGGUAGGCGGAAUUCCCGGUGUAGCGGUGGAAUGCGUAGAUAUCGGGAGGAACACCAGUGGCGAAGGCGGCCUACUGGGCACCAACUGACGCUGAGGCUCGAAAGUGUGGGUAGCAAACAGGAUUAGAUACCCUGGUAGUCCACACCGUAAACGAUGAUUACUAGGUGUUGGAGGAUUGACCCCUUCAGUGCCGCAGUUAACACGAUAAGUAAUCCACCUGGGGAGUACGACCGCAAGGUUGAAACUCAAAGGAAUUGACGGGGGCCCGCACAAGCAGUGGAGUAUGUGGUUUAAUUCGACGCAACGCGAAGAACCUUACCAAGUCUUGACAUCCCUUGACAGGCAUAGAAAUAUGUUUUCUCUUCGGAGCAAGGAGACAGGUGGUGCAUGGUUGUCGUCAGCUCGUGUCGUGAGAUGUUGGGUUAAGUCCCGCAACGAGCGCAACCCUUAUGGUCAGUUACUACGCAAGAGGACUCUGGCCAGACUGCCGUUGACAAAACGGAGGAAGGUGGGGAUGACGUCAAAUCAUCAUGCCCUUUAUGACUUGGGCUACACACGUACUACAAUGGCGUUAAACAAAGAGAAGCAAGACCGCGAGGUGGAGCAAAACUCAGAAACAACGUCCCAGUUCGGACUGCAGGCUGCAACUCGCCUGCACGAAGUCGGAAUUGCUAGUAAUCGUGGAUCAGCAUGCCACGGUGAAUACGUUCCCGGGCCUUGCACA
Molecule: ribosomal RNA, 1324 nt
Filed under: uncultured bacterium
Lineage: Bacteria
Description: bacterial SSU rRNA
Rfam family: Bacterial small subunit ribosomal RNA
Source: RNAcentral